RNAcentral lists this ribosomal RNA (482 nucleotides) under uncultured Bacteroidota bacterium. RNAcentral describes it as "bacterial SSU rRNA". It matches the Rfam family "Bacterial small subunit ribosomal RNA", at positions 898 to 1382 of the family's 1533-position model. Lineage: Bacteria; Pseudomonadati; Bacteroidota. The record is from RNAcentral.
AACUCAAAGGAAUUGACGGGGGCCCGCACAAGCGGAGGAGCAUGUGGUUUAAUUCGAUGAUACGCGAGGAACCUUACCUGGGCUUAAAUGCUUAAUGACGUACUGGGAAACUGGUAUUUCUUCGGACAUUUUGCAAGGUGCUGCAUGGUUGUCGUCAGCUCGUGCCGUGAGGUGUCGGGUUAAGUCCCAUAACGAGCGCAACCCCUAUUGUUAGUUGCCAUCAGGUCAUGCUGGGGACUCUAACAAAACUGCCCGCGUAAGCGUGGAGGAAGGUGGGGAUGACGUCAAAUCAGCACGGCCCUUACGUCCAGGGCUACACACGUGCUACAAUGGCCGGUACAGAGGGCAGCCACUUGGUGACAAGGAGCAAAUCUCAAAAGCCGGUCUCAGUUCGGAUCGGAGUCUACAACUCGACUCCGUGAAGUUGGAUUCGCUAGUAAUCGUAGAUCAGCAAUGCUACGGUGAAUACGUUCCCGGGCCUU